This 203-nucleotide ribosomal RNA is filed under the name Escherichia coli. RNAcentral's name for it is "partial 16S ribosomal RNA". It matches the Rfam family "Bacterial small subunit ribosomal RNA", at positions 1 to 211 of the family's 1533-position model. The record is from RNAcentral. Lineage: Bacteria; Pseudomonadati; Pseudomonadota; Gammaproteobacteria; Enterobacterales; Enterobacteriaceae.
AAAUUGAAGAGUUUGAUCAUGGCUCAGAUUGAACGCUGGCGGCAGGCCUAACACAUGCAAGUCGAACGGUAACAGGAAGCAGCUUGCUGUUUUGCUGACGAGUGGCGGACGGGUGAGUAAUGUCUGGGAAACUGCCCGAUGGAGGGGGAUAACUACUGGAAACGGUAGCUAAUACCGCAUAACGUCGCAAGACCAAAGAGGGG